This 406-nucleotide ribosomal RNA is filed under the name uncultured bacterium. Its description in RNAcentral is "partial 16S ribosomal RNA". It matches the Rfam family "Bacterial small subunit ribosomal RNA", at positions 30 to 526 of the family's 1533-position model. The record is from RNAcentral.
AUUGAACGCUGGCGGCAGGCCUAACACAUGCAAGUCGAACGAGUGGCGGACGGGUGACUAAUGUCUGGGAAACUCUCUGCUUCAGGGUGAUACUUACUGGCAACGGUAGCUAAUACCUCAUCCCAUCAACUGUCUCCACAUGGGCUUAGCUUGUUGGUGGGGUAACGGCUCACCAAGGCUACGAUGCCUAGCUGGUCUGAGAGGGUGACCAGCCACACUGGAACUGAGACACGGUCCAGACUCCUACGGGAGGCAGCAGUGGGGAAUAUUGCACAAUGGGCGAAAGCCUGAUGCAGCAAUGCCGCGUGUGUGAAGAAGGCUUUCGGGUUGUAAAGUACUUUCGUCAGGGAGGCGUUACCCAAAGAGAAAGCACCGGCUAACUACGUGCCAGCAGCCGCGGUAAUUC